AGCCUACGGGGCGCAGCAGUGGGGAAUAUUGCACAAUGGGGGAAACCCUGAUGCAGCGACGCCGCGUGAGUGAAGAAGUAUCUCGGUACGUAAAGCUCUAUCAGCAGGGAAGAAAAAAAGUCUUUGGCUUUGGACGAUACCUGACUAAGAAGCCCCGGCUAACUACGUGCCAGCAGCCGCGGUAAUACGGAGGAUGCGAGCGUUAUCCGGAUUUAUUGGGUUUAAAGGGUGCGUAGGCGGACGGUCAAGUCAGCGGUAAAAAUGCGGUGCUCAACGCCGUACAGCCGUUGAAACUGGCAGUCUUG
This 305-nucleotide ribosomal RNA is filed under the name uncultured bacterium. RNAcentral describes it as "bacterial SSU rRNA". It matches the Rfam family "Bacterial small subunit ribosomal RNA", at positions 335 to 644 of the family's 1533-position model. The record is from RNAcentral.